This is a long non-coding RNA of Oryzias melastigma (Indian medaka), 932 nucleotides long. RefSeq lists it as uncharacterized. The record is from RefSeq and is a predicted model, not a curated record. Lineage: Eukaryota; Metazoa; Chordata; Actinopteri; Beloniformes; Adrianichthyidae. The transcript is spliced from 5 exons.
ACUGCAGUGGCCCUUUUUGACCUGAAGGAGAUACCGUACCCCGGGGGCAAAGUCCGUUCUGAGCGCCAUUUUUAAAAGAACGUUUGUUACUGCUGUGAAAGGAUUUGAAGGAAUAUAAAUGCCCUCCUUGUUCUACCUGGUCCUCGUCUCACCUGGAAUCCCUGAUCCAACUGUUGUCUCCGAUGCUUUAACUCUCCGGUUGGCAAUUCCUGUCAUCACAGCAUCGUAAUCACAACGCAGAGUCUCUGAGGUUCCCGGAGAGGUGUCAGUACAAGAGGAUUACAGCUGUGAGUUAUUCAUCAACUGAGACCGGACUGCUCGCUGAGCCAAAGCUAUUCUCGACUGGAUGACAAAGUUAGAGGUCAGACCACAAAGUAAUGAGCCACCCACCCAACAUUCCCGGAUGAGGUUGUUUUCCAUGUCGGAGUCAAGAUUGCACAAACUGUGGUCGUCCCAACGCAGACUUUCAUCCCAGAGGAAGUCCUGGAGAUUCUGCUGCAGUUUGUUCACACUGACGUCUGCGUCUUCUUCCUGCAGAUUUCUGAACACAAACGAGAAGAAAUGAGGUCCCUGGAUCGCCCUCAUCAGAUCCUGCACAUUACAUCAUUCUGGACACCCCUACCCCAACCAGUGCCCCUAUAAUUGGAGGUACAACUUGGAUUCAGCCUUAAUCUGGAAGGAUCGUUGUCUGUCGCUGCUCGUCAAUGAGAAGCAGAUGGACGUUUACUCUGAAUGCUGACGUGUAGCAGAAGAUCUGGUCUGAGGGAACCAUCCAGGAGUGAAGAAGCAGCCGGGGCCGAACACGAAGCCGGUUUGGUGCAGGAAAAAACUGGAAUCAAAGACUAAAAAACGUCUGCAAAUCAAAUGAAAUCUGUCAAUUCACAGGGUUCACAUUUGAUUGGUAAGUUUGUGAAAAUAAUGUAAAAAAAAAA